UGCAGCAUGUGGAUCUUGAGCCUGUGCGCACUGAAAGACCAGGAGAAAAAGUUGCAUAUUACAAGAUAGCUAACCACUAUAAAUGGGCCUUGGAUGAGCUAUUCAUUAAGCAUGAUUUCCGUCGAGUAAUCAUUCUGGAAGAUGACAUGGAGAUCGCCCCAGAUUUCUUUGACUACUUCGAGGCUG
Long non-coding RNA from Triticum dicoccoides, 186 nucleotides. RefSeq lists it as uncharacterized. The transcript is spliced from 3 exons. The record is from RefSeq and is a predicted model, not a curated record. Lineage: Eukaryota; Viridiplantae; Streptophyta; Magnoliopsida; Poales; Poaceae.